CAUGGGUCCACGUUACUUCUCCACGGCAAUUCUUCGAAAUGAUGCCGGAACCGGAAUUAUGAGUGGCGCCGCCGGUUUCAUGCAUGGGGUUCCGGCUAUUCCGUCGGAGAAAGCGGUGGUGAUGUGGGUUAGGCAUUUUCCAGUGAUGGGUUCACGCAGCGCUAGUACUGUGGCUUUGAAUGAUAAGCAGCACGAUAAGAAAGUGGAAAACGGCGGCGCCGCCGCAUCUGGCGGCGGUGAUGGCGGUGAUGAGAAAUCAGUAGUGAGUUAUUGGGGUGUUCCGCCUUCAAAGGUUACUAAAGAGGACGGUACUGAAUGGAAAUGGAAUUGCUUUAGGGUAAAUUUAAUUUAGCUUUUCACAUAUUUUCUGAUAUUUUCUUUUUGAAAGUUGUCGAGAUUUUAGAGAAUUUAAUUUUUCUUUUUUGUGACUAAUGGUGGAUUUAUUUUGUGGGACGUAGCCAUGGGAGACGUACAAGGCUGAUUUGUCAAUAGAUCUGACGAAACACCAUGCGCCAACCACUUUCUUGGACAAAUUUGCUUAUUGGACCGUCAAGGCUCUCCGAUACCCCACUGAUAUAUUCUUUCAGGUAUUUAAGUUAUUCUUUUUCUUGUAUUUGUAUUUCUGGUUGUUUGAAUAUGACGUUAUUUGUCCGAACAAAUUUGGUACUCCUAUAUGGCUCUCACCCGAUUUAGAAGAGAAAAAAGUUCAGUUACCUUUCCCAGAAUUUUGGAAUAUUGCUUAGACCUUAAUAAUAAUAAUAAUACUAAUAAUACUAAUACUAAUAAUAAUAAUAAUAACAUUAUUAUUAUUAUUUAUUAUUAUUAUUAUUAUUAUUAUUAUUAUUAUUAUUAUUAUUAUUUCAGGCUGUGAUACUCUAUUUUUUACCUUUUAUUUUGGAUCUUGCUCUUACAAGAAAUGCUUUUAAUCUCGUUUCUGAAGAAUUUUAGAUUGCUUUCUUAUAGUUUGUAGUAAUAAAAAUAGUACUAGUUGCUUCUGUGGUAGAUUUUAAUUGAAAGCAACUAAGAAGAAAUAAACAAAUGAAGGGAUGGCUAAAGUUUUAAGUAAUUUUACUCCGUUAUAGAUCCAGAUUCAAGAAUAACUCUUCUUUAUGCUAUCAACAUAAAGAAAUGUGGUCAACUUGAAUAUUAAAACUAAUUAUCAUUGAAAAUCAAGCAUGGGAUGGGCGAGAAUGAUAUUCUGGAUGUGGAAUUAAUUAUUACCACAAAUUCUUUUAUACCUACUGAAGUUCAAUUCAAUGCAAUUCUAUUGGAGAUUAAUUUGUGUGGGUUAUAAUUAAUGUGGUGCAGAGGAGAUAUGGUUGUAGAGCAAUGAUGUUGGAAACAGUGGCUGCAGUGCCUGGAAUGGUGGGAGGAAUGUUGUUGCACUGCAAAUCACUGAGGCGAUUCGAACAGAGUGGAGGAUGGAUCAAAGCACUGUUAGAAGAAGCUGAAAAUGAGAGGAUGCACCUCAUGACUUUCAUGGAAGUAGCCAAGCCUAAUUGGUACGAGCGUGCACUAGUCUUUGCAGUGCAAGGCGUCUUCUUCAACGCCUACUUUGUCACUUACCUUCUUUCACCAAAGUUGGCUCAUCGUAUCGUGGGUUACUUGGAAGAAGAGGCAAUUCAUUCCUACACUGAGUUCCUAAAGGAAUUGGACAAGGGCAACAUUGAGAACGUUCCUGCUCCUGCUAUUGCCAUCGAUUACUGGCGUCUCCCUAAAGACUCCACUCUCCGUGAUGUUGUCUUGGUUGUUAGGGCUGACGAGGCUCAUCACCGUGAUGUCAACCACUUUGCAUCUGUAAGUGGAGCAACACAAAACAGUUAUAGACUGUUUAUAUAGCAAACUCUAAUUAAUUAUGGUUGAUUUUUGUUCUUAAGUCCUGACUAACUAAUUUCUAUGCUUUUGAUUGCAGGACAUUCAUUAUCAGGGACAACAGCUGAAGGACUCUCCAGCACCAAUUGGGUAUCACUAAGCCACUAAUACACAGAUUGAUCAAGUUAAAUGUCGCUGUUAUGUUCUUUUUUGUACUGGUAUAGAGCUAAUGUAGUACCUACUACUAUUUUGAAUGUUGAUGUACAUAUUUUUUUUCUGUGGAUUUGGUUGGUUGUUUACUACUGCCUUCAUGAAUCUCUGAGAUGGCAGUAGAGCACAAUGAGCUCUGUAUGAUUGGAGCAUAUACC
Molecule: long non-coding RNA, 2180 nt
Filed under: Nicotiana tabacum (common tobacco)
Lineage: Eukaryota; Viridiplantae; Streptophyta; Magnoliopsida; Solanales; Solanaceae
Description: long non-coding RNA (NTAB_LNC015786)
Source: RNAcentral